This 1746-nucleotide long non-coding RNA is filed under the name Marmota monax (woodchuck). The record is from RNAcentral. Lineage: Eukaryota; Metazoa; Chordata; Mammalia; Rodentia; Sciuridae.
CUCGUACCACCUCUUAGUACUCACUCACCAACCCGUCCCCUCCUGGAAUGUUUAAGUCUGACUCCCUCCCAGGCCUGGAGGCGACAUAGUUCAGGAAAACCCACCACUGAGAACAAGAAACACAUCAAAAUAUCCUAGAAUACUUCCGUGUGAAGAUAUUAGAACACUAAACGGGCAGAGAGGGAUCAUGAGAUCAGGAUCUGGAAGAAUUAAACCCAGAGGAUGAUGGAGUACCAGGGACCCCUUCUCCCCAAAACAGGAAUUGCCAAUUUUGAUAUUUAAAAAAUGAAAGGCUAAGAGCUGAGCCAGAGCUUUUCAAAGACUCCUGAGUCUAAUAGGAAAGUCUAAUCGGAGUUCAGAGUGCCAACCAGAGACCCGGUGAAUCUCCCAGGCUGUCAGCUGAAAUACCCUCCAACUAGGAAUGAGCCAUCAUCACAAGGUCUAAAACCCAGCUUCCAGCCACCCCAAGUCAUCAGCAGCCUCUGAUCGGAUUAAAGCUAUCUUGGAUUCCUGAGCUCUCUAAGACCUGAGAUAAAGUAAACCCUCAUUAGAGGGAGAUAACAUCGCCUUAAGCCUCAAACAACUUCCAAGAAUUCUCACAUACAGUGCCUGACAUUCAGUCAAAAAUAACCCAGAAUUUAAGGCAAGGAAAAUGAUCAAUAUCAAAAGAAAAUAGUUGAUGAUAGAAAUAAAUACAAGAGCUGGAAGUGUGGCACAUGUUUGUAAUCUCAGGGAGGCUGAGACAGGAGGACUGCAAGUUCAAGGCCAGCCUCAGCAAUUUAGCAAGGCCCUGAACAACUUAAAUGAAAACUAAAAAAAUCGGGGGAUGUAAUUCAGUGGUAAAUUGUCCCUGAGUUAAAUCCUCAGUAGAAGAAGAAGGAGGAGGAGGAGGAGAAGGAGGAGAAGAGGAAGAAGAGGAAGAAGAAGAAAAAAGAAAGAAACACAAUAUGAUUCAGAAAGUAAUGGAUCACAGAUUAUAUAACAUGUUAGUAUGCUAAAAAUGCAAAUAGAAAAAUAAUAACUGAAAAGUUUCCAAGGCUAAUGAAAGGCAUCAAGCCACAGAUCCAAAAGCACCACAAAUCACAAGCAGUAUACAUAGGAGGAAAACCACAGAGCUACAUUAUGAUAAACACAAAGAGAAAUUCCUGAAGCAGCCAGAGGAAAAACACAAACUAUCCUCAGGGGACAACAAUAAGUAAUUAUAAGACUUGCAACAAACAUGACAAAACUCUGAAGACAAUGGGAUGGAUCUUUAAUGUGAUUAAAGAAGUAAGGUCAAGCGCACAGUGACGUACAUCUCUAAUCCCAGCAAUUAAGGAAUCUGAGGCAGGAGGAUUGCAAAUUCCAGGUCAGCCUCCAGAGUUUAGUGAGGCCCAAAGCAAUUUAGAGAGACCCUAUCUCAAAAUAGAAAGGAUUAGGGAUGUAACACAGUGGUAAAGUGCCCCUGGCUUCAGUCCCCAGUACCAUUAAAAAAAAAAAAAAGUCAAAAAAUAGAAUUCUUUGCCCAGUGGAAACAUUCUUCCAUAAUGAAGAUAAAGAAAAACAUUUGUAGGAAAGCAGAAACUGGAUUUGUCAUCAGAAGAUAUGUACUAAAUGCAUUACUGAAGGGAUUGCUCUUGCUGCGGUCAAGAACAGGGAGGGAUAGUUCAGAGGCCAGGAGACCAGUCCAGAGGUCACUGCAAGAGCAUAGGCAGGAUGUGAUGGUGUCCAGGCCAGAGAGGUGGUCUCAAAUGUGAUGAGAACUUG